UCUGGGCUGUGAAGAUUUUGGUUUGCGUUCUGCUCUCAUUCCUACUCCCACAGCUGGCUUGGGCAGCACAGCCCCACGGUGCAGUGCCAUUCCCAGUGCUGGAGGUGUGGGCAUAUCAGUGGUCCCACCGCUCACACCAAGGCUGAGCUGGGAGCUGGAACCCUGCCUGGAGCAGCUCUCUCCUUCUGCACCACCUGCUGCCCCAGUGCUGCUGUCCUCCCUGACACAGGUCUGCGAUCACAAAGAAAGAGCGUAAAACAGCCUUACCUCGUCAGGCAGUGACCCAGCCGGCUCAGUGCUGCAGGCAGGAGGAAGUGCGCCGGCUGCAGCACCGCACCAGCCUUGUUUACAGCAGCAUGGCAACCUGCGUGACAUCACGGCCUGCCCGAAGGUGGGAUAUCUGCAUGAGCCUCCAUCUGCAGCCCUUUCAUCCUCGCUCAGCUCAUAGACCUGACAAUUUGGAGCCAAAGCCACGCUCUUUGGGCAAAGGAGAGAUGGAGUUGACUGGAACACGUGUUGGUACAUGGAACACAUUGCCCACCUCAAAAAGUGAGCUCUAACAAAAGGAAAAAUUGUAGAAGUGCCCUGCAUGUGUGUGAACAGCUCUACUUGCACAAGAGGCUUGGAACAGCUCAGC
Molecule: long non-coding RNA, 637 nt
Organism: Centrocercus urophasianus (Greater sage-grouse)
Lineage: Eukaryota; Metazoa; Chordata; Aves; Galliformes; Phasianidae
Exons: 3
Source: RefSeq, a predicted model, not a curated record